RNAcentral lists this ribosomal RNA (465 nucleotides) under Vreelandella stevensii. RNAcentral's name for it is "partial 16S ribosomal RNA". It matches the Rfam family "Bacterial small subunit ribosomal RNA", at positions 338 to 795 of the family's 1533-position model. The record is from RNAcentral. Lineage: Bacteria; Pseudomonadati; Pseudomonadota; Gammaproteobacteria; Oceanospirillales; Halomonadaceae.
CCUACGGGGGGCUGCAGUGGGGAAUAUUGGACAAUGGGGGGAACCCUGAUCCAGCCAUGCCGCGUGUGUGAAGAAGGCCCUCGGGUUGUAAAGCACUUUCAGUGAGGAAGAACGCCUGGUGGUUAAUACCCAUCAGGAAAGACAUCACUCACAGAAGAAGCACCGGCUAACUCCGUGCCAGCAGCCGCGGUAAUACGGAGGGUGCGAGCGUUAAUCGGAAUUACUGGGCGUAAAGCGCGCGUAGGUGGCUUGAUAAGCCGGUUGUGAAAGCCCCGGGCUCAACCUGGGAACGGCAUCCGGAACUGUCAAGCUAGAGUGCAGGAGAGGAAGGCAGAAUUCCCGGUGUAGCGGUGAAAUGCGUAGAGAUCGGGAGGAAUACCAGUGGCGAAGGCGGCCUUCUGGACUGACACUGACACUGAGGUGCGAAAGCGUGGGUAGCAAACAGGAUUAGAUACCCCGGUAGUC